Molecule: ribosomal RNA, 457 nt
Filed under: uncultured bacterium
Lineage: Bacteria
Description: partial 16S ribosomal RNA
Rfam family: Bacterial small subunit ribosomal RNA
Source: RNAcentral
GAUGAACGCUGGCGGCGUGCCUAAUACAUGCAAGUCGAGCGGAAAGGCCCUUCGGGGUACUCGAGCGGCGGACGGCUGAGUAACGCGUAGGAACGUACCCCAAAGUGAGGGAUAACUGCUCGAAAGAGUAGCUAAUACCGCCUGUGCUCUUCGGAGUAAAGCUUCGGCGCUUUGGGAACGGCCUGCGUCCUAUUAGCUAGUUGGUGAGGUAAUUGCUCACCAAGGCGACGAGAGGUAGCUGGUCUGAGAGGAUGAUCAGCCAGACUGGGACUGAGACACGGCCCAGACUCCUACGGGAGGCAGCAGUAGGGAAUUUUCCACAAUGGGCGAAAGCCUGAUGGAGCAACGCCGCGUGCAGGAUGAAUGCCUUCGGGUUGUAAACUGCUUUUAUAGGUGAAGAAUAUGACGGUAACCUAUGAAUAAGGAUCGGCUAACUCCGUGCCAGCAGCAGCCGCGG